UGGGGAAUAUUGCACAAUGGGCGCAAGCCUGAUGCAGCCAUGCCGCGUGUGUGAAGAAGGCCUUCGGGUUGUAAAGCACUUUCAGCGAGGAGGAAGGUGGUGAGCUUAAUACGCUCAUCAAUUGACGUUACUCGCAGAAGAAGCACCGGCUAACUCCGUGCCAGCAGCCGCGGUAAUACGGAGGGUGCAAGCGUUAAUCGGAAUUACUGGGCGUAAAGCGCACGCAGGCGGUUUGUUAAGUCAGAUGUGAAAUCCCCGGGCUCAACCUGGGAACUGCAUUUGAAACUGGCAAGCUAGAGUCUCGUAGAGGGGGGUAGAAUUCCAGGUGUAGCGGUGAAAUGCGUAGAGAUCUGGAGGAAUACCGGUGGCGAAGGCGGCCCCCCUGGACGAAGACUGACGCUCAGGUGCGAAAGCGUGGGGCAGCAAACAGGAUUAGAUACCCUGGUAGUCCACGCUGUAAACGAUGUCAAUUUGGAGGUUGUGCCCUUGAGGCGUGGCUUCCGGAGCUAACGCGUUAAAUCGACCGCCUGGGGAGUACGGCCGCAAGGUUAAAACUCAAAGGAAUUG
This 567-nucleotide ribosomal RNA is filed under the name uncultured bacterium. RNAcentral's name for it is "partial 16S ribosomal RNA". It matches the Rfam family "Bacterial small subunit ribosomal RNA", at positions 355 to 912 of the family's 1533-position model. The record is from RNAcentral.